This 607-nucleotide ribosomal RNA is filed under the name bacterium. Its description in RNAcentral is "bacterial SSU rRNA". It matches the Rfam family "Bacterial small subunit ribosomal RNA", at positions 736 to 1342 of the family's 1533-position model. The record is from RNAcentral.
AAGACUGACGCUCAGGUGCGAAAGCGUGGGGAGCAAACAGGAUUAGAUACCCUGGUAGUCCACGCUGUAAACGAUGUCAACUUGGAGGCUGUGGCCUUUGACCGCGGCUUCUGGAGCUAACGCGUUAAAUCGACCGCCUGGGGAGUACGGCCGCAAGGUUAAAACUCAAAUGAAUUGACGGGGGCCCGCACAAGCGGUGGAGCAUGUGGUUUAAUUCGAUGCAACGCGAAGAACCUUACCUACUCUUGACAUCCAAAGAAUCCUUUAGAGAUGGAUGAGUGCCUUCGGGAACUCUGAUACAGGUGCUGCAUGGCUGUCGUCAGCUCGUGUUGUGAAAUGUUGGGUUAAGUCCCGCAACGAGCGCAACCCUUGUCCUUUGUUGCCAGCACUUCAUGGGGGAAAUUCAAAGGAAACGGCCGGGGUAAACCCGAAGGAAGGGGGGAAUGACUCCAAGCCUUCUGGGCCCUUACGAGAAGGGUUACCCCCGGGUUACAAGGGCAGAUCCAAAGAGGAGCGACCUCCCAAGAGCAACCGAUACUCAUAAAGUCUGUCGAAGGCGGAAUUGAAGCCUGCAAUUCAACUCCAUGACUUCGAAACCGUUAGUAAA